This 497-nucleotide ribosomal RNA is filed under the name uncultured Chryseobacterium sp. RNAcentral's name for it is "bacterial SSU rRNA". It matches the Rfam family "Bacterial small subunit ribosomal RNA", at positions 8 to 507 of the family's 1533-position model. The record is from RNAcentral. Lineage: Bacteria; Pseudomonadati; Bacteroidota; Flavobacteriia; Flavobacteriales; Weeksellaceae.
AGAGUUUGAUCCUGGCUCAGGAUGAACGCUAGCGGGAGCCUAACACAUGCAAGCCGAGCGGUAUUGUUCUUCGGAACAGAGAGAGCGGCGUACGGGUGCGGAACACGUGUGCAACCUGCCUUUAUCAGGGGGAUAGCCUUUCGAAAGGAAGAUUAAUACCCCAUAAUAUAAGAGACGGCAUCGUUUUUUAUUGAAAACUCCGGUGGAUAGAGAUGGGCACGCGCAAGAUUAGAUAGUUGGUAGGGUAACGGCCUACCAAGUCAGUGAUCUUUAGGGGGCCUGAGAGGGUGAUCCCCCACACUGGUACUGAGACACGGACCAGACUCCUACGGGAGGCAGCAGUGAGGAAUAUUGGACAAUGGGUGAGAGCCUGAUCCAGCCAUCCCGCGUGAAGGACGACGGCCCUAUGGGUUGUAAACUUCUUUUGUAUAGGGAUAAACCUUUCCACGUGUGGAAAGCUGAAGGUACUAUACGAAUAAGCACCGGCCAACUCCGUG